Long non-coding RNA from Stomoxys calcitrans (stable fly), 281 nucleotides. RefSeq lists it as uncharacterized. The record is from RefSeq and is a predicted model, not a curated record. The transcript has 2 exons. NCBI's taxonomy places the organism in Eukaryota, Metazoa, Arthropoda, Insecta, Diptera, Muscidae.
AUGAGCAGGAAAAGAAAAUAUCAACCAAAUAACUCCCCGAUUUGAAAAUCAAUUAAAUCUGAAAUUACAUCCAUAUCUGUCGUUGUAUGCAUUCAUUGCAAUAUGUCUGUGUCUAUGAGUGGCCGAGUCAAAUCUAAUCCAGGUUAUUUACCAUUAAAGCUGAAUAUAUGGUUAAAUUGAGAGAGUAUGUGGUUGCGAAAGUCAUUUUGGAGCCAAUGGUUUGUUAUUUAUUUGGAUACAAUCUAUUUUUUUAUAGAGAUUAAAGAAAAAGUUUAAUCCGC